Molecule: long non-coding RNA, 731 nt
Filed under: Gossypium barbadense (sea-island cotton)
Lineage: Eukaryota; Viridiplantae; Streptophyta; Magnoliopsida; Malvales; Malvaceae
Description: long non-coding RNA (GBAR_LNC023077)
Source: RNAcentral
AAUUGAAUGUAAGUUUUCAUAAUCUGUUCAACUUCAAUUCCUUUUCCAAAAAUCAAAAUCUCCUCCUGCAAGUCCAGUACCUGUUUGCCUUACAUAGUUUCCUUCAUUUCAGCUCUCAAGCCCACAGCUGCAUACUUUAAAAUGCCUGUUGUCAGUGAGAAAUUCCCGUUAGGUAUUGGAGCAUCUCCUUUUUUAUGCACAAGGUUCAUCCUCCAAACGAACGAUAAUACUAAGAAAAUGGAUUGCAUAUUCUCAUCCAUCACCACAUAUCCUUUCAUAACUUUGAGAGGAAAACUACAACAGAGCAUUUGUGUUACUAACCUGGCGCAUCCCAACACAAGAAUUUGCUAAAGCAAGCAACCCAAGAACCGCCGUUAUCCGCGUCGCACCAAACUCCCUCCUGACUUUGGCGUUAACUUAUUCUUGGAGAAACCUAGAACUGAAACCGACAUGUCCACUGACACUGAACAAAUAAAGUCAAUUUACGGUCACAAUAGUGAUUCACCUGAAGAAGAAGACGACAAAGAAGAUCAUGUGAAUAUUGAUCUUGCUUGGGAAUCAGAUGAGGUUGAAGCCAUAUCUUCACUUUUUCAGGGAAGAAUUCCUCAAAAACCUGGAAAAGUAGGUAGAGAGAGGCCUCUUCCUGUCCCACUUCCUUACAAGCUACGGCCACUGGGAUUUCCUAUGCCAAAGAAACACGUUAAGAAGUCUUCUGCUGGGGUAAACUCAUC